ACUGGGUGCAGUGGUGCACACCUGUAAUCCCAACAGCUCAGGAGGCUGAGGCAGGAGAAUCAAUGAGUCCAAAGCCAGCCUCCGCAACUUAGCAAGGCCCUAAGCAACUAAGAGAGACCCUGUCUCUA
RNAcentral lists this small RNA (128 nucleotides) under Marmota monax (woodchuck). The record is from RNAcentral. Lineage: Eukaryota; Metazoa; Chordata; Mammalia; Rodentia; Sciuridae.